This is a long non-coding RNA of Eupeodes corollae, 964 nucleotides long. RefSeq lists it as uncharacterized. The transcript is spliced from 5 exons. The record is from RefSeq and is a predicted model, not a curated record. NCBI's taxonomy places the organism in Eukaryota, Metazoa, Arthropoda, Insecta, Diptera, Syrphidae.
UGCUCAUAUAUUUCUCAUUUUCAAUCUAACUUCAGAGGAGAAAAGUCGCGUUUAUCCGAAGCUUUUCUCACUUCGUGUAAUUUUUAAUAAAAGAAAAUGUGUUAUUAUAAAAAUAUCACAUCACUUAUACCACAAAGCUUUAAACAAAUCAUUUAAUUGAGUGAAAUACUUGAAAGAAUCAAGAUGACUUAGAUAAUCAUGGAUUAUAAAUAAGAUGUUUCUCGUUUGUCUCUGAGAUAAUCAUCGUUGAAGUUCCUGCGAAGAUCAAGAGGAAACCCUGAGCUCAACAUGCUCACGUUAGACGGAAACUUGUAUGAAAAAUGCCAUUCAACGUAAAAGAUUUUCGCGCCAAAAUGGCAUAUGGAUGACGCCAAAGUAGAGAAUUUAUAGAAAAUUAAUUCCAUCAAGUUUUUUUCCGAAAAAAAAAGAGAGUGAUUCAUGGUGACGAUGGCUUUUAUCUUAAUCCCUCUGGAAAAUUUGAUGAAAACGCUUUAGGUUAGUUCAUAGUUUUAUUUCUUCGUAUAGUCUAGUUGCGUCUUAGUGAUGAUAACUUUACCUUUUCAGGUUCCCUCUACUGAGCGAACCCAAAUAAAAACCAUGCUGUCAAUCUUUUUGUCUGAAAUUUAAUUAAAUAAUAAAUUUUGAUUUAAAACAAAGCGAGACUUUACUAAAACAUUUUUAUUAUAACUUUGCAGAUUUUGCGAUUAUAAUGACAAGAGAUCUUUACUCUGGAAGCGUUUAAGUUGAAAAACAAUUUCCUUAAAGGUGAGAAUCUUUGUUAAUUUAGCCUUUGUAUGUUAUUGAAAAGGAAAGCGUCUUUAUGAUGAUAUCCUUACCUAUUCAGGUUCCCUCUACUGAGCGAACCCAAAUAAAAAACCAUGCUGUUAAUUUUAUUCUGAAAAUAAUAAAUUAUUAAAUAUAUUAUAGUUUCUUUCUUCCAAACUAGAAAACUAAUGAAUUUUUU